Molecule: long non-coding RNA, 1706 nt
Filed under: Arachis ipaensis
Lineage: Eukaryota; Viridiplantae; Streptophyta; Magnoliopsida; Fabales; Fabaceae
Description: long non-coding RNA (AIPA_LNC002103)
Source: RNAcentral
UUUUUUUUUUUUAAAGUUGCGUGUAACCUUGAUUGAGUUGAGCGCAUAUAUUUAUUUAAAUUGUGCAACUUUACGCGUAAAAAGAUUAUCCUUUUUGUUAUUCAAUUUAAUAUUUUUUUCCUAGCACGUAAUGAAAUUAAUUUCCAUCUAUAUAUACACCCUCUAUAUAUCUCCAUAGUUGAAUUCAGAAAAUAUAUAUAUUGAUAUAACUAAAAGUUAAUUCUCAUCGUGUUCAAUAGAUGGCUAAGUCCAUGGCAAACUUGUUUUCAUGUGUUCUUCUGAUUUCAGGUUUAUAUAUCAUUUCUUCAUUCUUUUCUAUUUUCAUUUAUUAAUAUUGCUUUUAUUUUAAUGAGUUAGCUUUUAACUCCCUAUUUAUGAAAAUUGUUAGACCCUAAGGAGCUCCACUAACAAAUGCGUCUCGUUAUAGUGGUUAAUGUUAGGGCUGGAAGUGAGUCAAGCCAGCUCAUGAGUCAGCUCGAGCUCGACUCGUUAACAGCUUGAUAAGCUAAGCUCGUGAGCUGGUGAGCCAAGCUUAAGCCUAAAAUUGAGCUCAUAAAUUAAAUGAGCCGAACUUGAGCUUGGAUAAGCUUAACUCAUUAGCUCGUGAGUUGGCUCGAUUAUAUAUAUAAUAUUAAAAGUAUAGAUUAAAUGCAUAUAGAAUAUGCGUAUUAAUAAUUUAAUAUAUAUAUACAUAUAAAAUAAUAAUAUAUAAUUUUAUAUAUAUAUUAAUGUUCUUAAUUAUUUAAAAUUUUAUAGUCAUUUUUUAUAUAUAAUUUUGAUGUAGGACAUAAAUAAAAAAUUUAUAAUUGAUAGAUAGANNNNNNNNNNNNNNNNNNNNNNNNNNNNNNNNNNNNNNUUAUCUAUUUUCUCUUAUUUGAGCCAGCUCGUAAGCUCGAGCCAGCUCGUGAGCUUUUGGUUAGCCGAGCUUGAGCUUAAGAAAUAAGCUCGAUUGUUAAUGAGCCGAGCCGUGAGCCAAGCUCAAUUUUCGUGAGCCGAGCUUGAGCUUGGUCUAGCUCGGCUCACCUCGGCUCACUUCCAGCCCUAGUGGUUAUACAUCUUUGACCAUAUUUAAAAUGGUGAAAACUCAGGCGCAGUCAAUUUCACGGAAGUUGAUAGUUGAGAGCGAUUAAAUAAUUUGACUGAUUUGAUUAAAUUUUCAUUUAAUUAACGGUUCUGAAUUAUUAAUUUCUUGUGAAAUUAACUGCACCUUAGUUUCUACCACUUAAAAUAUGUUAUUAAAAUUAAACUAAUAUUUUUAUUAUUUGAAAAUGUUUUUAAAUUUGAAAAAAAAAUAGCGAAUAAUGUUGUCAAAUAGAUUGUGAUAUUAAUUUUAGAUAACGUAAAAAGUGUUACUAAAAUUGAAUGAUUUAAGUACAUGAAUGAAAUAAAGUGUGUUGUUUUGUUUACAGUUUUUGUGUUUGCGGUGACAAUUGAAGUGGGUGAAGGUCGAGAAUGUCACGACAAUUUCUCUAAUUAUUUGUGCGAGAGAGUUGACUUUUGUCAAUCGAUAUGUGAAAAUCUUCACGGAGGGAUUGGAACAGUUGGAUAUUGCGCUUAUCCCCAUUGUUAUUGCUCCUACCAAUGUUGAUUAGGGUUUGCUUAAACCACCUAUUAAUUAUNNNNNNNNNNNNNNNNNNNNNNNNNNNCAUUUAAGUCAUUUUCAUUUUUCGUAUGCAUUUGUACUCAAACUUUAUCCAAAUAAAGCA